This 877-nucleotide ribosomal RNA is filed under the name uncultured eukaryote. RNAcentral's name for it is "SSU rRNA". It matches the Rfam family "Eukaryotic small subunit ribosomal RNA", at positions 571 to 1473 of the family's 1831-position model. The record is from RNAcentral.
CAGCCGCGGUAAUUCCAGCUCCAAUAGCGUAUAUUAAAGUUGUUGCGGUUAAAAAGCUCGUAGUUGGAUCUCGGCGAACAGGGGGCGGUUCGUUAUUUGACGGUACUGCCCCAUUUGUUCGUAUUUUUGCAAGAGGGUUGGGGGUCCCCUUCAUUGGGUGUCUCCGGUCGCUUGCAGGUUUACUUUGAAAAAAUUAGAGUGCUCAAAGCAGGCUUACACGCUUGAAUAUUCGUGCAUGGAAUAAUAGAAUAGGAAGUCGUUUCUAUUUUGUUGGUUUUCGGAAAAUGACUUAAUGAUUAAUAGGGACAAUCGGGGGCAUUAGUAUUCAAACGACAGAGGUGAAAUUCUUGGACCGUUUGAAGACUAACUACUGCGAAAGCAUUUGCCAAGAGUGUUUUCAUUAAUCAAGAACGAAAGUUAGAGGUUCGAAGGCGAUCAGAUACCGCCCUAGUUCUAACCAUAAACGAUGCCAGCUAGCGAUCUGCGGGUGUGUAAAAACAAGACCCCGCAGGGAGCUUCCGGGAAACCAAAGCUUGUGGGUUCCGGGGGAAGUAUGGUUGCAAAGCUGAAACUUAAAGGAAUUGACGGAAGGGCACCACCAGGAGUGGAGCCUGCGGCUUAAUUUGACUCAACACGGGAAAUCUCACCAGGCCCGGACACCGGAAGGAUUGACAGAUUGAGAGCUCUUUCUCGAUUCGGUGGGUGGUGGUGCAUGGCCGUUCUUAGUUGGUGGAGUGAUUUGUCUGGUUAAUUCCGAUAACGAACGAGACUCUGUCCUGCUAAAUAGUAAGCUGAUUACUUUGUCAGCUUGUCUUCUUAGAGGGACUGGCGGAUUUAAACCGCACGAGAUUGAGCAAUAACAGGUCUGUGAUGCCCA